RNAcentral lists this microRNA precursor (189 nucleotides) under Oryza brachyantha (malo sina). RNAcentral's name for it is "MIR812 microRNA precursor family". It matches the Rfam family "MIR812 microRNA precursor family". Lineage: Eukaryota; Viridiplantae; Streptophyta; Magnoliopsida; Poales; Poaceae. The record is from Rfam by way of RNAcentral.
AAUAAACGAAUUUCUUUGUUUUUAUUGAAUUUUUUACUCUUCAUCUUAUUUAAAAUUUUUUUAUGAUUACUAUUUUUAUUGUUACUACAUGAUAAAAUAUGAAUAGUACUUUACUUGCGACUAUUUUUUUUAAUUUUUUAAUAAAUUUUUCAAAUAAAAUGGAUGGUCAAACACUCAACCUACCAAACC